UCGGACAUGGUGUACGGUACACGGCCUCUUGCAUUGACUGUUCAACCAAGCGUUCGGAGGCAGCUCGGGGUUCGACUCCCCGUGUCCGAG
This is a non-coding RNA of Mycena albidolilacea, 90 nucleotides long. NCBI's taxonomy places the organism in Eukaryota, Fungi, Basidiomycota, Agaricomycetes, Agaricales, Mycenaceae. The record is from the annotation of a GenBank genome assembly.